Molecule: non-coding RNA, 85 nt
Organism: Felis catus (domestic cat)
Lineage: Eukaryota; Metazoa; Chordata; Mammalia; Carnivora; Felidae
Source: Rfam
GCCUGGGUGGUUCAGUUGGUUAAGCGUCUGACUUUAGCUCAGGUCAUGAUCUCACAGUUCAUGGGUUCGAACCCCGUGUUGGGCU